RNAcentral lists this ribosomal RNA (408 nucleotides) under uncultured bacterium. RNAcentral's name for it is "partial 16S ribosomal RNA". It matches the Rfam family "Bacterial small subunit ribosomal RNA", at positions 30 to 526 of the family's 1533-position model. The record is from RNAcentral.
AUUGAACGCUGGCGGCGUGCUUAACACAUGCAAGUCGAACGAAGUGGCGAACGGGUGAGUAACGCGUAAUCAAUCUGCCCUUCAGAGGGGGACAACAGUUGGAAACGACUGCUAAUACCGCAUACUGAAGGAGGGGAUUGCUUCUGAUUGGCUAGUUGGAGGGGUAACGGGCCACCAAGGCGAUGAUCAGUAGCCGGUAUGAGAGGAUGAACGGCCACAUUGGGACUGAGACACGGCCCAGACUCCUACGGGAGGCAGCAGUGGGGAAUCUUCCGAAAUGGACGAAAGUCUGACGGAGCAACGCCGCGUGAGUGAUGACGGCCUUCGGGUUGUAAAACUCUGUUAAUCGGGACGCGGUACCGGAAUAGAAAGCCACGGCUAACUACGUGCCAGCAGCCGCGGUAAUUC